UCCUAGGUGGUCUAGUGGUUAGGAUUUGGCACUUUCACUGCUGUGGCCUGGGUUCAAUCCCUGGCCUGGGAA
Sus scrofa (pig) is the source of this 72-nucleotide transfer RNA. It matches the Rfam family "tRNA". From Rfam's summary of the family: Transfer RNA (tRNA) molecules are approximately 80 nucleotides in length. Their secondary structure includes four short double-helical elements and three loops (D, anti-codon, and T loops). Further hydrogen bonds mediate the characteristic L-shaped molecular structure. tRNAs have two regions of fundamental functional importance: the anti-codon, which is responsible for specific mRNA codon recognition, and the 3' end, to which the tRNAs corresponding amino acid is attached (by aminoacyl-tRNA synthetases). tRNAs cope with the degeneracy of the genetic code in two manners: having more than one tRNA (with a specific anti-codon) for a particular amino acid; and 'wobble' base-pairing, i.e. permitting non-standard base-pairing at the 3rd anti-codon position. The record is from Rfam. Lineage: Eukaryota; Metazoa; Chordata; Mammalia; Artiodactyla; Suidae.